RNAcentral lists this ribosomal RNA (144 nucleotides) under uncultured eukaryote. Its description in RNAcentral is "partial 18S ribosomal RNA". It matches the Rfam family "Eukaryotic small subunit ribosomal RNA", at positions 1299 to 1458 of the family's 1831-position model. The record is from RNAcentral.
UGGUGGAGUGAUUUGUCUGGUUAAUUCCGAUAACGAGCGAGACCUCAACCUACUAAUUAGUUGUGCCAAUCUUCGGAUUGGGUGGCACACAACUUCUUAGGGGGACUAUUGGUGCGUAGCCAAUGGAAGUUUGAGGCAAUAACA